GCUCCGGUAGAAGAAAGGACAGGGCUCCUCUUCUGCCAAAUAUAGCCAGGUUAAACUCAACUGGACCAAGUAUUUCGGCCUUUCGAGCCGAAGACCCGGGUUCGAAUCCCGGCCGGAGCACCA
Molecule: transfer RNA, 123 nt
Filed under: Candidatus Bathyarchaeota archaeon
Lineage: Archaea; Thermoproteati; Candidatus Bathyarchaeota
Also listed under: 1 other name
Description: tRNA-Glu
Source: RNAcentral